Molecule: long non-coding RNA, 340 nt
Filed under: Malus domestica (apple)
Lineage: Eukaryota; Viridiplantae; Streptophyta; Magnoliopsida; Rosales; Rosaceae
Description: long non-coding RNA (MDOM_LNC005558)
Source: RNAcentral
CUACGUACUUGUCUUGAUGUCACACACACCAAUGACUCGAGACUAAUCACUCUCCCUGAGAGAAGACAUAAUACGUACUGAUCUUAACGGACUGUCAACGCCCAAUUGGCAAUCCUAUGAUCAGGAACGUUUAGGAUGUGUCUACGAAAGAAUGGUCUCAUGAAUCUAACUUCAUUAGAUUACAUUCUCCCAACCACAUAUUCCUUGGACUUUAUCGUUUAAGCAUAUAACAUUUAUAUGAGACGGCUCAAACAAUAAUCUAUGCCCUUGAUAGACGCAUAUUUAUGCGACUUAGUUAACUAGUUUUCUUGCAUUUACGUUAUUAGUUCUUAGUUAUUUU